GGACGGGCCCCGCACAAGCAGCGGAGCGUGUGGUUUAAUUCGAUGCUACACGAAGAACCUUACCAGGGUUUGACAUACAAGUAGUAGGGAAAGGAAACUGGACCGACCCUUCGGGGAGCUUGUACAGGUGCUGCAUGGCUGUCGUCAGCUCGUGUCGUGAGAUGUUCGGUUAAGUCCGCUAACGAGCGCAACCCUCGCUGUGUGUUACAAGUGUCACACGGAACUGCCGGUCAUAAACCGGAGGAAGGUGGGGAUGACGUCAAGUCAGCAUGGCCUUUAUGUCCAGGGCUACACACGUGUUACAAUGGCCGGCACAGAGGGCAGCUACCUGGUGACGGGAUGCUAAUCUCGAAAACCGGUCUCAGUUCGGAUCGAAGUCUGCAACUCGACUUCGUGAAGCUGGAUUCGCUAGUAAUCGCGCAUCAGCCAUGGCGCGGUGAAUACGUUCCCGGGCCUU
This 457-nucleotide ribosomal RNA is filed under the name uncultured Longilinea sp. RNAcentral describes it as "bacterial SSU rRNA". It matches the Rfam family "Bacterial small subunit ribosomal RNA", at positions 916 to 1381 of the family's 1533-position model. The record is from RNAcentral. Lineage: Bacteria; Bacillati; Chloroflexota; Anaerolineae; Anaerolineales; Anaerolineaceae.